Molecule: ribosomal RNA, 393 nt
Filed under: Triticum aestivum (bread wheat)
Lineage: Eukaryota; Viridiplantae; Streptophyta; Magnoliopsida; Poales; Poaceae
Description: partial small subunit ribosomal RNA
Source: RNAcentral
AUGGACUCUGUCUCAAUAUUUUGUUUCUUCUCAUAUGCUAUUUGUGGUCACCCCAAAAUAUUUUCCACUGAGAUCAGGGUGCCAUUUGGAAGCAAUGCAAACCUUGCAUGUAUGAGCAAUUUCAGAUCUGAUACAAAUAACCAAGAGAAAGGAAGAAGGCAAGGUGCGAGUAGUCCAGAAAGGAUCUAUGGGACAUUCCAUGGAAGUCAUAACAGAAGAGGCGAAUUCUAUGCCAACCCUACUGCCUCUUCUGUUAUGAGAAGAAACAAAAUAUUCACAAUGGAGGAAAGACUAAAGAUGACCCCUGGAGGAGCGAAGAAUUCUGAAGAUGAUACCACCAGGAAAAAAGUGGUGACUGAUAUUGGGGCUGGAGAUGAUUCUUUUGUCAGAUAG